Pygoscelis adeliae (Adelie penguin) is the source of this 414-nucleotide long non-coding RNA. RefSeq lists it as uncharacterized. The transcript is spliced from 3 exons. Lineage: Eukaryota; Metazoa; Chordata; Aves; Sphenisciformes; Spheniscidae. The record is from RefSeq and is a predicted model, not a curated record.
AGUAUCUGCUUAACUACUGAUUUUAAUAGCCAUUACUGCUAAUAAAAGAAUGUCACCAUACUGUGAUUUAUAUUAAUACUCAUGGUGCAUUUUGCACAUGAAAAACAUGCAGCCACUGGCCUGUGGGGUACUUGAUGCCUCCUGUGCUUUGCAGGCUGUAGAAUUUGCUCUUCUGUCUUUUCUGGCAUGACAGAUGAGGCCCGUCGUCCUGGUCCUGAAGUGGGAAGAUCUUAUUGGAGGGUAGUAAGUUACAGGAGAGAAUAUGGGAGACCAGUUUACAGAUGAUGAAAGCACAGUUUGCCUCAACAUGGAGUUUUUCUGAAGAACUAUUGUUCAUGGAGACAUUCUUACUUGGAGUAUGAAUGGAAUAAAAAAAAUCUUGUUUUGUAAGGCUAAGGCAUUAGAUGGAACAUU